UACGAAGGGGGCGAGCGUUGUUCGGAUUUACUGGGCGUAAAGAGCGUGUAGGCGGCUUGGUAAGUCCGCUGUGAAAGUCCAGGGCUCAACCCUGGAAAGCCGGUGGAAACUGUCAAGCUUGAGUCCGGAAGAGGCGAGUGGAAUUCCUGGUGUAGCGGUGAAAUGCGCAGAUAUCAGGAGGAACACCAAUGGCGAAGGCAGCUCGCUGGGACGGUACUGACGCUGAGACGCGAAAGCGUGGGGAGCAAACAGG
RNAcentral lists this ribosomal RNA (253 nucleotides) under uncultured bacterium. RNAcentral describes it as "partial 16S ribosomal RNA". It matches the Rfam family "Bacterial small subunit ribosomal RNA", at positions 524 to 776 of the family's 1533-position model. The record is from RNAcentral.